Molecule: transfer RNA, 21 nt
Filed under: Metrosideros diffusa
Lineage: Eukaryota; Viridiplantae; Streptophyta; Magnoliopsida; Myrtales; Myrtaceae
Also listed under: 1 other name
Description: partial tRNA-Leu
Source: RNAcentral
UUCAAGUCCCUCUAUCCCCAA